AGUCGAGCGAACAGAGAAGGAGCUUGCUCCUUUGACGUUAGCGGCGGACGGGUGAGUAACACGUGGGCAACCUACCUUAUAGUUUGGGAUAACUCCGGGAAACCGGGGCUAAUACCGAAUAAUCUGUUUCACCUCAUGGUGAAAUAUUGAAAGACGGUUUCGGCUGUCGCUAUAGGAUGGGCCCGCGGCGCAUUAGCUAGUUGGUGAGGUAACGGCUCACCAAGGCGACGAUGCGUAGCCGACCUGAGAGGGUGAUCGGCCACACUGGGACUGAGACACGGCCCAGACUCCUACGGGAGGCAGCAGUAGGGAAUCUUCCACAAUGGGCGAAAGCCUGAUGGAGCAACGCCGCGUGAGUGAAGAAGGAUUUCGGUUCGUAAAACUCUGUUGUAAGGGAAGAACAAGUACAGUAGUAACUGGCUGUACCUUGACGGUACCUUAUUAGAAAGCCACGGCUAACUACGUGCCAGCAGCCGCGGUAAUACGUAGGUGGCAAGCGUUGUCCGGAAUUAUUGGGCGUAAAGCGCGCGCAGGUGGUUUCUUAAGUCUGAUGUGAAAGCCCACGGCUCAACCGUGGAGGGUCAUUGGAAAACUGGGAGACUUGAGUGCAGAAGAGGAUAGUGGAAU
Molecule: ribosomal RNA, 627 nt
Filed under: Lysinibacillus sphaericus
Lineage: Bacteria; Bacillati; Bacillota; Bacilli; Caryophanales; Bacillaceae
Description: bacterial SSU rRNA
Rfam family: Bacterial small subunit ribosomal RNA
Source: RNAcentral